Molecule: microRNA precursor, 75 nt
Filed under: Cricetulus griseus (Chinese hamster)
Lineage: Eukaryota; Metazoa; Chordata; Mammalia; Rodentia; Cricetidae
Source: RNAcentral
UGCAGUGCCCUAUUCAGAAUGGUACUGAUGAGAUGAAUAAUUUAAUCAGUGCCUUUCUGAGUAGAGUAAGGCUCA